AAGACUAUACUUUCAGGGAUCAUUUCUAUAGUUCUUGACUUGAGAAAUGUUUUUCUAAAGUGUUUGGUCUCGCUGUCCACGAUGAAGAGGCGCUGAUACUCCUUCUUGAGCGCGAAGCGGGCUGAAAGACUUGAUUUACAUCUCACGCUUUCAGCUUUUGAUGACCGUUCACAGUUUCCCUGGAAACUAUGAGGGAAGGAGUAUGAUCAGAGUGGU
This is a small nucleolar RNA of Cololabis saira (Pacific saury), 216 nucleotides long. RefSeq annotates it as small nucleolar RNA U3. The transcript has a single exon. NCBI's taxonomy places the organism in Eukaryota, Metazoa, Chordata, Actinopteri, Beloniformes, Belonidae. The record is from RefSeq and is a predicted model, not a curated record.